RNAcentral lists this transfer RNA (72 nucleotides) under Cavia porcellus (domestic guinea pig). It matches the Rfam family "tRNA". Rfam says of the family: Transfer RNA (tRNA) molecules are approximately 80 nucleotides in length. Lineage: Eukaryota; Metazoa; Chordata; Mammalia; Rodentia; Caviidae. The record is from Rfam by way of RNAcentral.
GGGGAUACAGCUCAGUGGCAAAGCACUUGCCUGGCAAGCGUGAGGUUGUGAGUUUGAUUCCCAGUUACCCCC